This 441-nucleotide ribosomal RNA is filed under the name uncultured bacterium. RNAcentral's name for it is "bacterial SSU rRNA". It matches the Rfam family "Bacterial small subunit ribosomal RNA", at positions 1 to 489 of the family's 1533-position model. The record is from RNAcentral.
UUAGAGUUUGAUUCCCUGCUCAGGAUGAACGCUGGCGGCGUGCCUAAUGCAUGCAAGCCGAACGGCCUGAUUUAUCAGGCAGUGGCAGACGGGUGAGUAACGCGUAAGAACUUACCCUGAAGUGGGGGACAACCUCGAGAAAUCGGGGCUAAUACCGCAUACGCUCCGCAAGGAGGAAAGCUUCGGCGCUUUAGGAUGGGCUUGCGCCCGAUUAGCUAGUUGGUGAGGUAAUGGCCCACCAAGGCUCAGAUCGGUAGCUGGUCUGAGAGGAUGAUCAGCCACACUGGAAUUGAGAUACGGUCCAGACUCCUACGGGAGGCAGCAGCAGGGAAUAUUGCGCAAUGGGUGAAAGCCUGACGCAGCAACGCCGCGUGGGGGAUGACGGCUUUCGAGUUGUAAACCCCUUUUCUUGGGGAAGAUAAUGACGUACCCGAGGAAUAA